This 499-nucleotide ribosomal RNA is filed under the name uncultured bacterium. Its description in RNAcentral is "partial 16S ribosomal RNA". It matches the Rfam family "Bacterial small subunit ribosomal RNA", at positions 28 to 507 of the family's 1533-position model. The record is from RNAcentral.
GACGAACGCUGGCGGCGUGCCUAAUACAUGCAAGUCGAGCGAAGUUUUUCUGGUGCUUGCACUAGAAACACUUAGCGGCGAACGGGUGAGUAACACGUAAAGAACCUGCCUCAUAGACUGGGACAACUAUUGGAAACGAUAGCUAAUACCGGAUAACAGUAUUUCUCGCAUGAGAGAUAUUUAAAAGUUGGUUAUGCUAACACUAUGAGAUGGCUUUGCGGUGCAUUAGCUAGUUGGUGGGGUAAAGGCCCACCAAGGCGACGAUGCAUAGCCGACCUGAGAGGGUGAUCGGCCACACUGGGACUGAGACACGGCCCAGACUCCUACGGGAGGCAGCAGUAGGGAAUCUUCCGCAAUGGGCGAAAGCCUGACGGAGCAACGCCGCGUGAGUGAAGAAGGAGUUCGGUUCGUAAAGCUCUGUUGUUAGGGAAGAAUGGAUAUGUAGUAACUAUACAUGUAAGAGACGGUACCUAACCAGAAAGCCACGGCUAACUACGUG